Molecule: transfer RNA, 87 nt
Filed under: Cordylochernes scorpioides
Lineage: Eukaryota; Metazoa; Arthropoda; Arachnida; Pseudoscorpiones; Chernetidae
Description: tRNA-Tyr
Rfam family: tRNA
About the family: Transfer RNA (tRNA) molecules are approximately 80 nucleotides in length. Their secondary structure includes four short double-helical elements and three loops (D, anti-codon, and T loops).
Source: RNAcentral
UCCUCGAUAGCUCAGUUGGCAGAGCGAUGGACUGUAGAUGUUACAACGGUGAUCCUUAGGUCGCUGGUUCAAAUCCGGCUCGAGGGA